AUUGAACGCUGGCGGCAUGCCUUACACAUGCAAGUCGAGCGGCAGCGCGGGGGCAACCCUGGCGGCGAGCGGCGGACGGGUGAGUAAUACAUCGGAACGUGUCCUUUCGUGGGGGAUAACCAGUCGAAAGACUGGCUAAUACCGCAUGAGAUCUCACGAUGAAAGCGGGGGACCCGCAAGGGCCUCGCGCGAUUGGAGCGGCCAAUGUCGGAUUAGCUAGNGGCGGGUAAAAGCCCACCAAGGCGACGAUCCGUAGCUGGUUUGAGAGAACGACCAGCCACACUGGGACUGAGACACGGCCCAGACUCCUACGGGAGGCAGCAGUGGGAAUUUUGGACAAUGGGGGCAACCCUGAUCCAGCCAUGCCGCGUGUGUGAAGAAGGCCU
Molecule: ribosomal RNA, 386 nt
Filed under: uncultured bacterium
Lineage: Bacteria
Description: bacterial SSU rRNA
Rfam family: Bacterial small subunit ribosomal RNA
Source: RNAcentral